AGAGUUUGAUCCUGGCUCAGGAUGAACGCUGGCGGCGUGCCUAACACAUGCAAGUCGAGCGAUUCUCUUCGGAGAAGAGCGGCGGACGGGUGAGUAACGCGUGGGUAACCUGCCCUGUACACACGGAUAACAUACCGAAAGGUAUGCUAAUACGAGAUAACAUACUUUUAUCGCAUGGUAGAAGUAUCAAAGCUUUUGCGGUACAGGAUGGACCCGCGUCUGAUUAGCUAGUUGGUAAGGUAACGGCUUACCAAGGCGACGAUCAGUAGCCGACCUGAGAGGGUGAUCGGCCACAUUGGAACUGAGACACGGUCCAAACUCCUACGGGAGGCAGCAGUGGGGAAUAUUGCACAAUGGGCGAAAGCCUGAUGCAGCAACGCCGCGUGAGCGAUGAAGGCCUUCGGGUCGUAAAGCUCUGUCCUCAAGGAAGAUAAUGACGGUACUUGAGGAGGAAGCCCCGGCUAACUACGUGCCAGCAGCCGCGGUAAUACGUAGGGGGCUAGCGUUAUCCGGAAUUACCGGGCGUAAAGGGUGCGUAGGUGGUUUCUUAAGUCAGAGGUGAAAGGCUACGGCUCAACCGUAGUAAGCCUUUGAAACUGGGAAACUUGAGUGCAGGAGAGGAGAGUGGAAUUCCUAGUGUAGCGGUGAAAUGCGUAGAUAUUAGGAGGAACACCAGUUGCGAAGGCGGCUCUCUGGACUGUAACUGACACUGAGGCACGAAAGCGUGGGGAGCAAACAGGAUUAGAUACCCUGGUAGUCCACGCCGUAAACGAUGAGUACUAGCUGUCGGAGGUUACCCCCUUCGGUGGCGCAGCUAACGCAUUAAGUACUCCGCCUGGGAAGUACGCUCGCAAGAGUGAAACUCAAAGGAAUUGACGG
RNAcentral lists this ribosomal RNA (879 nucleotides) under uncultured bacterium. Its description in RNAcentral is "bacterial SSU rRNA". It matches the Rfam family "Bacterial small subunit ribosomal RNA", at positions 8 to 916 of the family's 1533-position model. The record is from RNAcentral.